UACGUAGGGUCCGAGCGUUAAUCGGAAUUACUGGGCGUAAAGCGUGCGCAGGCGGUUUUGUAAGCCAGAUGUGAAAGCCCCGGGCUCAACCUGGGAACUGCAUUUGGGACUGCAAGGCUGGAGUACGGCAGAGGGAGGUGGAAUUCCACGUGUAGCAGUGAAAUGCGUAGAGAUGUGGAGGAACACCGAUGGCGAAGGCAGCCUCCUGGGCUAGUACUGACGCUCAUGCACGAAAGCGUGGGGAGCAAAAGGG
This 253-nucleotide ribosomal RNA is filed under the name uncultured bacterium. Its description in RNAcentral is "partial 16S ribosomal RNA". It matches the Rfam family "Bacterial small subunit ribosomal RNA", at positions 524 to 776 of the family's 1533-position model. The record is from RNAcentral.